GUUCUCGAUUUGGUUCACACACACACACGUGCACAAUACAAACACACGUAAGCACACAUCGCUCCCCACCCCUGCCCCCUUCCCCCUUACGUUUGCCAUCCCUGCUCGGGUGUGUGCUGCAUUGUUUCUCCCCUCCCCUCCCCCCAAAAAAAAAACACACGCCAACUGCAGCACGCACAGAGUUACCGGCCGCGCUCAUCCGCUCUCCGGAAAGUGGCCGCUCAUCGACGAAGCUGAUAAACGAAGUGCAGCCACAAUGGGAAAGCCAAAGUACCUCAAAAAGAAGCAGGCCGCCGCCGCCGCAGGCUCCGAGGAAGGCGCGGACAAGGACGUGGGUGACAACACUGAGAGCACAAACGGUUCGCCGACGACGGCGAACGCGCUUGGCAAGAAGUCGGAAGCGGCCAAGGAGGAGCCGCACAGCUCCGGAGCCAUGGUUUCCUUUGCCAACCCCGUCUACCGCCAAGGCGUGAACGACAUACUCGUCGAGAAGCUUGACAUCAGCUAUCAGGGCAACGCCAUCCUGGAGAACGCGACGCUCAACCUCGUGAGCGGGCACCGCUACGGCCUCGUGGGCCCAAACGGGUGCGGCAAAUCGACGUUGCUGCGCGUGCUGGGCUGCCAUGAGAUUCCCUUCCCGUCGCACGUGGACCGCUACUACGUUUCCCAAGAGGUGGAGGCCUCCGACAUGUCCGCGCUGGACGCCGUGCUCGCCGUCGACAAGGAGCGCGAGAAACUCGAGUCGGAGAUGGAGGAUCUGGCGCUCGGUGACCAGGAGGACCCGCACGUGCUGAGCCGUCUGGAUGACAUCUACAAGCGUCUCGACGAGCUCGACGCCGACACGGCGGCCGCGCGCGCUGGCAAGAUUUUGUUCGGUCUCGGCUUUACGAAGGAGAUGCAGCGGCGCCCGACGAAGGCGUUCUCCGGCGGUUGGCGUAUGCGCAUCUCGCUGGCGCAGGCGCUGUUCAUCAACCCCACCGUGCUACUGCUGGAUGAGCCGACGAACCACCUAGAUAUCGAGGCCGUUGUGUGGCUCGAGAACUACCUCAGCAAGUUCAAGAAGACGCUCUUCAUGGUGUCACACUCGCAAGACUUCAUGAACAACGUCUGCACGGACAUCUGCCACAUGCACCUGAAGAAGCUUAACUGCUACGACGGCAACUACGACCAGUAUUGCAUCACCCGGGAAGAGAAGGAAAGCAACCAGAUGAAGAAGUACCAAUGGGAGCAGAACCAGAUCAAGAACAUGAAGGAUUACAUUGCUCGCUUCGGUCACGGUAGUGCCAAGCUCGCCCGUCAGGCGCAGUCCAAGGAGAAGACGCUGGCGAAGAUGACCCGCGGCGGUCUCACGGACGCGGUCGUCAAGGACAGCCGCAUCAACUUCGAGUUCCCGUGCGCCGGCCCGCUGCCACCGCCGAUGCUGCAAUUCCGAGAGGUCUCCUUCAACUACCCGGGUCGCCCGUCCCUCUUCACGAACCUCGAUCUCGGCGUCAACAUGGAUUCCCGCAUAUGUCUCGUUGGCCCCAACGGUGCUGGUAAGACGACUCUGACGAAGCUCAUGUGCCGCGAGCUGGAGCCGACCGCCGGGUACGUAGCGAAGAACGCGCACUGCGUCAUGGCCCGCUUCCACCAGCACUUUGUGGACCAAAUCAACAUGGAUCUGACGCCGCUGGAGUGGAUGUCGCAGGAAUACCCGGAGGUGACGCAGCCGCCGAUUUUGCGCAGUGCCCUGGGCCGCUUUGGCGUGUCUGGCAAAGCGCAGAUGACGCCGAUGAAGACGCUCUCGGACGGGCAGAAGUCGCGUGUGGUGUUCGCGUGGAUGGCAUACAAGCGCCCGCACUUUAUGAUUCUCGAUGAGCCGACGAACCACCUGGACAUCGAGUCCAUCGACGCCCUCGCCGACGCCAUCAACAGCUUCGAGGGUGCCGUCGUGGUCGUCUCGCACGACCUGCGGCUCCUGGCGCAGAUCGCCGAUGAAAUCUGGAUCGUUGAGAAGGGCGAAGCAAAGCGCUUUAAUGGCGACAUUGCCGACUACAAGGAGCACGUGCAAAAUGAGGUGAGCCGCAUGAUGCAGAGCUACGCGGCCUCGCUGUAACGACAAGGGCAGCGCGAAACGAAGGCGGCACCGCGCACUCACGAGGACGCGGUGCAGUUUCUGGUGUGCUGUCUUCGCCGCCCUUCUCUUUUUGCCAUCACGAGCCGGGUAUGGCGGGGAGGAGAGAGGCAGGAGAAGGCGCCGCGUGUCGCGUGAAGCGCGGUGCGCUGAGUCUGUCGAUUCCCUUGUUUCUUUCUCGCACGCGCGCAACAAACCGUGAGCCACCGCGCCAAGGAGGAGGGCGAGGCUCUUUUUGCCCCUUUGCCGGGAUACCCUUCCUUUCUCGCCAGCCCUGUACUUGAGGAGGGGUGGGGCGCAGAGGCCAAGUUCACGGUAACUUGUCGUGUGAGUCGCCUAAAAGGUUGGCGCAGUGUAGCAAGGCUGGGCGCGGGUUUGGAAGAGGAGGGGGCAAUGGAGCGAAGAGAAACCUGCUUUACCAGUGUUCCCGACGCACCUCAACGCCCCCUCUACCUUGCUUGCGCUCCGAUGCGCCACUCGCCCAGCGCACUCCCUCUUGCCCGUGCCACGCGACAAGCUUUAUAACUCUUCUUCUGUGUCCGUCUCGCUCGCUCGCUCUCUAUUCAUUGUCUCCACUCAACUACCGCCUUCCUCGAGGUGAUGGUGCGCGUGCGUCUUUGUUGCGUAACGAAACAGCGCCGUUGUCGCGCUCCUUUUCUUGUGUGUGUGCGCUCCGAGAAGGGUGGGAGGGGGGGGAGAAAGAGCGGAGUAGUCUAGGAAGGAGGGCACAUUGUGCGCGUGUCGAAGUGCAUAACGGGUGGCAGGAAGAGCAGUGAGGAUGGGCAGCCAAAAAGAUGAUAAGUCCUCCCUCCCUCUCCCUGUUUCACGGCGACACGCUGGGGAGGGGGGAAGGGGGCACAGGGAGGCAAUGCGCGGUGUGCUGUAACCAGAGAAUGCCCUCACACUCUUUCGUCUUAUCGCAUGCUCGGCAGCGGUGUCGUGCGAAGGGUGUAGUGGGGUCGGGGUGCAUCCGUGCGCGUCGAUUGUUUUUCAAUUCUUUGGAAACCAAAGGGCGCUCUUCGCCUGACAUGUUUGGAGCUUCGUCGCCCGCUCCCCCCCCCCUCCACCACCCCUCUCUCGCCCCUCCCCUUCACGAGCGAGGGACUGCUCUUCUCGCAAAGGGGAGGGAAGGGGGGAGGUGGAUAUCCCUGUCACCGUUGUUGUUUUCGUUUUGGUUGUGACGUUUCUUGUUUGCUGUUGUGUAUUUGUAUGUGACUCGUUAUGUUAAGUGCUCGUUCCCUCUGUGUGUGUGUGUGUGUUUUCUCUCCUGUUGUCCGCCCCCUCCUUCACCACCAUCACGCCGACCCCCGCGUGCCACGUGCACCUCCGGUGUUUCAGUGAACACAAGCACGAAGAGAAAGAAGAGAAACACCUGCGCGCGUGUGCGCGUGUGUUUGCGGCUCCUGGUCGUCGUCUCUACGAGAAUGUAUCGUGUACUCGUGCGAGCGUGGUGUUGGAUGGAGAGGAUUUGAAGAACAAGGUGUCGAGAUGUUGUGUGACAUCCACGCCUUUUAGUGCGUUCCUCCCCCCCCCCAUUCCUUCUUCCCUCCUUUCCUACCCGACAGCCUCGCUUCGCGACAGCGACGAGAGAGACGCCAAGAUAUGACGGUGCACGCAGCAUGUCCCGAAGCGAAGGCGACGCCAUCUAAGGACGCGUGAAACGACU
Molecule: unclassified non-coding RNA, 3779 nt
Filed under: Leishmania donovani
Lineage: Eukaryota; Euglenozoa; Kinetoplastea; Trypanosomatida; Trypanosomatidae
Description: gene:LdHU3.19.0880(CDS-product:ABC_transport_syst em_ATP-binding_protein_putative)
Source: RNAcentral